UAUAAUUCAGGAGUGGUACAA
This 21-nucleotide non-coding RNA is filed under the name Caenorhabditis elegans. Lineage: Eukaryota; Metazoa; Nematoda; Chromadorea; Rhabditida; Rhabditidae. The record is from RNAcentral.